CCUACGGGAGGCAGCAGUGAGGAAUAUUGGUCAAUGGGCGAAAGCCUGAACCAGCCAUGCCGCGUGCAGGAAGACGGCUCUAUGAGUUGUAAACUGCUUUUGUACGAGGGUAAACACAGAUACGUGUAUCUGCUUGAAAGUAUCUUACGAAUAAGGAUCGGCUAACUCCGUGCCAGCAGCCGCGGUAAUACGGAGGAUCCAAGCGUUAUCCGGAUUUAUUGGGUUUAAAGGGUGCGUAGGCGGUUUAGUAAGUCAGCGGUCAAAUUGCGGGGCUAAACCCCGUACUGCCGUUGAAACUGCAUCCCUUGAGUGCGCGAGAAGUAUGCGGAAUGCGUGGUGUAGCGGUGAAAUGCAUAGAUAUCACGCAGAACUCCGAUUGCGAAGGCAGCAUACCGGCGCGCAACUGACGCUCAUGCACGAAAGCGUGGGUAUCGAACAGGAUUAGAUACCCUAGUAGUC
This 459-nucleotide ribosomal RNA is filed under the name uncultured bacterium. Its description in RNAcentral is "partial 16S ribosomal RNA". It matches the Rfam family "Bacterial small subunit ribosomal RNA", at positions 338 to 795 of the family's 1533-position model. The record is from RNAcentral.